This 127-nucleotide small RNA is filed under the name Marmota monax (woodchuck). The record is from RNAcentral. Lineage: Eukaryota; Metazoa; Chordata; Mammalia; Rodentia; Sciuridae.
GCCGGAUGUGGUGGCACACGCCUGUAAUCCCAGCAAUUUGGGAGGCUGAGGCAGGAGGAUCAUGAGUGUGAGGUCACCCUCAGCAACUUAGUGAGGACCUAAGCAACUUAGUGGGACCCUGUCUCAA